RNAcentral lists this long non-coding RNA (1125 nucleotides) under Brassica napus (rape). Its description in RNAcentral is "long non-coding RNA (BNAP_LNC010803)". The record is from RNAcentral. Lineage: Eukaryota; Viridiplantae; Streptophyta; Magnoliopsida; Brassicales; Brassicaceae.
AGGGACAUGCCUUCAGCGAGUGCUGCUCUCAAAAAUACAGCUUCAUGAUAUAGGUUCAUCCGACAAUGAUUGAAGUACUUGGUCAAUCACUCUGUAAAAUUUGUUAUAAUUACCUGAAACGAAUCACGUUCAAACCUUUCUAGCUUAGUACUAAUUUGUUGAUAUGCUCAUGAUAAUAGACGCUAUCAACUAUGUGCCAAUUUUGCUUUGAUCUUACCCAACAACGGUUUAUAAUUCAUCCGCAAGUUUCCUAAAUCAGAUGCCAAUUGUGAUAGAACAUUCAUGCAGAUGACAUAGAGGUAGAGAGACAGAGCAUAACCUUGUCUUAAACCUCUUUUGCUUUAAAAGUAUGCCGCAAGCUUAUCAAGUUAUCAUUAACUUGAACCGAGAAAGAUGGCACAUAUUUUUAUGGGAAGUUUACUCAAAUAUACAAUAUUUUAGGACAAUGGACUAGAACCAUACAGAUCUUUUUUUUAUUACUGGCAUUUUUUAAAUACCAAACGUGCCCUUUUUUUACGUUAUGAGAAAAAACGUAUUUACAAAAAUGUCAUUACUUUUUAAUGCCACGUAAUAAAAAACCCGGCGCCACGUAGGAAUUCGGUUCUGUGUUUUCAUUAAGUCGGCCGUAAAGAGCUAUAUACGUCGUUACGGCUGAGUUAUUGCUACGUUGCGGCUGAAUUAAAAAACGCGGCUGACUUAAGAGAAAAAGGCUGACUUAAGAACAUAAAUCAGCUGUUAGUUACAGCUGAUUACAGAAAUCUGGUAGAUUUAUGGGAUAACAGCUGACUUACGUACACAAGUUACGGCUGACUUAUACAUCGGCGGUUUGAUUUCUGUAAAAUUUGGCUGAGUUGUAGUUAAGACACGGCUGAGUUAUGUUUCCACGGCUGAGUUAAUGAACAUCGACUGGCUGAGUUAUUGAAUUUACGGCCGACUUAUGAGAUGUUGAUACGGCUGAGUUAUAUUUAAUCAGCCGUCAUUGGAUGGAUUAAUAGUAAACUCAGCUUAUUUACGGCUGACUUAUUAGCGAAAGAUUAAUUACUAGAAUAUCAUUUGUUUUACGGCUGAUUUAUUUGACGAUAUGGCUGACUUAAGAUUUUUCAUCCUAAUUACAGCUGAUUUAUU